Arachis stenosperma is the source of this 439-nucleotide long non-coding RNA. RefSeq lists it as uncharacterized. The record is from RefSeq and is a predicted model, not a curated record. Lineage: Eukaryota; Viridiplantae; Streptophyta; Magnoliopsida; Fabales; Fabaceae. The transcript is spliced from 3 exons.
CUGCCACCAGAAGGAUCCACCACAGCCUCCUCUGUUCUUGUCUUCGAAUUAGAACUGCCCUUUUCCACUGAAUAUGUCUGUUUGAAAAAUUAAAAUGGGUGCUGCUGCCACCGGUUCGGUCACAUUGGAAUCACUGCUGCUGCCAUAAAACAGAAAGGGAAGGGAGUUACUAUGUUUAACCUGUGUGAAUUCAACUAGUUGAGGAACCGGAUGAAGAAGCAUUAAGAAGAGUUAUACUGCGUCUGGUUUAUAAGAUGUUGUAUUAAUUAGAUGUUUUCUCCCCUCGUCUUUGUUAUUACAAGUGUGUAAGAGGGAUAGGAAUUGUAUGUUUUAUAUGUAUAUUAUAUUAUGAGUUAUUAUGUAAAGAGUCUUGUAUAUGAAUCUAUGCCUGUUUGUAUUUUUCUUAAGAUAAAGUGUGUAUUUUUUUUUGGUUCUUUUG